GGGUUACCUUGGUCAUGUAUACAAAUAUAAAGCUUGGAAAGUUAUGUGAAAGGUAUGGUUCCAGGGAUCGAACCCAGUGCCUCACACAUGCUAGGCAAGUGCUCUACACUGAGCCACAACCCCAGCCCUAGGUACAUGUAUAAAAUCAGGAAUUUUUCCCUCUGAGCUUCCUCUGUAAUCUGCUCAUCAGUUUGCUUGUUCUCUGCCACAGGAAGGGCUUGGGCAAGCAGAAUUUCUGGAGUGCCAGUGCAAGUGUUCAGGCUUGAAUUUGCUGAGAUGAGGAAUUUUGCCUUGUUCAUAGCUACUACCUCACAUCCUAUAAAAGGUGUCUGACAAAUAUUUAGCAAUUAUAUGAGGCUGAAUCGCAAGUCCCAUCUCUAGUUGUUAAGGGGACCUAAGUGGCUAAUUGGGUUUGGUUGAACAACAACCAGGUAAACAGAGCUGUCUGCAGCCUUGCAAAAAUCAAGAGACUGCUGGGGAACUUGGAAAGGAGGAAUAUUGUCAAAACUGUCAUCUGCACUUGGUUAUUGGGUUUGUUCCCAUCCUGCUCUUCUGUUAAGCCCCUGUGACUUGGAUCUAAGAGGACCAAAAAGUUUUCAGCAGCUUUCCCCAGACCUCUGGGGCCAGAGGUUGUGCAGAUGUUUCCUUCGGAAAAUCUCUGGCCAAGAAUAGCAUUCCUUUUGGGGAGGGGGUUCAAGUUGGACUGUGUCUGGAAUGUUGCUUUUCUUGGUUUGUGUAAAUGUAUUGCUGGCAAAACAGCUGUUGGGACUGGGAAAGGCGCUCAGGGUUCCCCAUCUCACAGCGGGAGUGCUAGACGCCAGGAUAUGGGUGGCUUUCAUGACUGCAGCUUUUCUGGAGCUCUUCAGAGGGGAACCUGAAAUGCUGAGUCAUUCUUCAAUGGCUUUCAAAUCUCUUCAGUUCCUAAAUUUGUGUGUGUGUGUGAGAGUUUACUCAGAGUUACUGAGGAUUGAAACCAGGGUUUUGUACAUACUAUGCAAAUGCUACCAAUGAGGUACAGCCCUAGACUGUCCCUUUUAUUCUUUUUAGUUAUACAUGAUAUAGGCAUAUCACACAUACAUGGAGUAUAACUUCCCAUUCUUAUGGUUGUACAUGUAUGUAUACAUACACUGGUCACCUCUUGCACUUUAGGAGUCUUGUUGAAGAAUUUGUAUUCAUAUGUGAACAUAGGAAAGUUGUGUCCAAUUCAUUCUCCUGUCUCCCAUUCUCAUUCCCCGCUCCAAUCUGAUGACCCCCAACCUCCUUAGGGCAAUGAGUGGGGGUUGCCUGUUGUGAGUCAGCAUCUACAUAUCAGAACAUUCAGCCUUUGGUUAUUGAGGAUUGGCUUAUUUCACUUAAUCUUGAGUCUCCAGUUCCAUCCAUUUAUUGGCAAAUGCCAUAACUUCAUUCUUUAUGGCUAAGUAAUAUUACAUUGUAUAUACAAACCACAUUUUCUUUAUCCAUUCAUCUGUUGAAGUGCACCUAGGUUGAUUCCCAUAGCUUAGCUGUUGUGAAUUAAGCUUCUAUAAACAUUGAUGUGGCUGUGUCAUUGCAGUAUGCUGAUUUUUUAAGUCCUUUGGGUAUAGUCCAAGGAGUGGAAUAACUGGGUCAAGUGGUGGUUUUAUUCUAAGUUUUCUUUUUCUUUUUUAACUUGUAGUUGGACACAAUACCUUUAUUUUUAUUUUUAUGUGGUGGUGAGGCUCGAACUCAGCACCUCCUACGUGCUAGGUGAGUGCUCUACAGCUGAGCCACAACCUCAGCCCCCCAUCCUAGGUUUUCUGAGGAAUCUCCAUACUGCUUUCCAGAGUGGUUGCACCAAUUUGCAGUCCCACCAGCAAUGUAUGAGUAUAUCUUUUCCCCCACAUCCUUGCCAACAUUGUUACUUGUAUUCUUGAUAAUUGCCAUUCAGACUGGAGUGAGAUGAAAUCUCAGUGUAGUUUUAAUUUUGAUGUAUCUAGUUACUAAUGAUGUUGAAUACUUUUUCAUCAUAUUUGUUGACAGGUCAUAUUUCUUCUUCUAUGAAGUGUCCAGUUCCUUUGCCCAUUUAUUGAUUGGGCGGUUCCAUUUAUUGAUUGGAACAUGGUAGGGAUUCAUUAAACACCUGCUUGGCUGUGGUUGUUUUGGAGACCUGAAAGCCCAACUUUGUAGGGCUCAUGUGAUGUUUGUUUUUGUUGUUUUGUUUUUUGAGUUCUUUGUAUCUCCUGGAGAUUAAUGCUCUAUCUGAUGUGCAGGUGGCAAAGAUAUUCUCCCAUUCUGUAGACUCUCAUCACAUUCUUGAUUGUUUCCUUUGCUGUGAAGAAGCUUUUUAGUUUGAUACCAUCCCAUUUAUUGAUUCUUGAUUUUACCUCUUGCACUUUAGGAAUCUUGUUGAAGAAUUUGUUUCCUAAAGCACCAUAAUGGAGAUUUGAGCCUACUUUUUCUGCUAGUAGGUGCAGGGUUUCUGCUCUAAUGGCUAGGUCCUUGAUCCACUUUGAGUUGAGAUUUGGGCAGAGUGAGAGGGGUCUAAUUUCCUUUUGCUACACACAGAUUUCCAGUUUUCCCAGCACCACUUGUUGAAGAGGCUAUCUUUUCUCUAAUGUAUGAUUAUGGAUCCUUUACAUAGUGUAACUGUAUUUGUGUGCCCAGACCCCCUUUUUAUUAUUUUAUCUUUGAAGCAGAGCCUUGAAUUUGUCAUUCUCAUGCCUCAGCCUCCCAAGUAAUUGAGAUUACAAGGCAUUGUCACUGUGACCAACCUAAAUUCUGUUUUUCUUUUUGGAAACAGGGUCUCACAGAGUUACUGAGUCUGCUUUGAACUUGCAUUCCUCCUGCCUCAGCCUCCCUAGUCU
RNAcentral lists this long non-coding RNA (2822 nucleotides) under Marmota monax (woodchuck). The record is from RNAcentral. Lineage: Eukaryota; Metazoa; Chordata; Mammalia; Rodentia; Sciuridae.